AAGCCCCUGCGGUCCCCUGAACUCCGAAAACGUCGGCGGACGGAGCCUCUCGUGCCAGCCGAAGCCCCAAAGUCGGCGCUGACUGACUGGGAUGCCCUGCUGCCAGGUGAGAGCGGCGCGCCGCCGAAGGGGGGCCACGUGAGCGGCGAGCGCCCAUUGGCCGCCGCCGAGCGUGACGUCGUGCGACGUCGCGGAACGGCGGCGGACUGUUCGCCGGCCGACUCGGCCGCGCGCCGUCAGUUUGACGCGAGAGCCCUAGGUGGAGGUGAUACAGGCACCAGCGUCGUCGGCUUUCGCGAACUUCCAAAACUGCCCGUCCGAUGUGAGUGUCAGUGGGCGCACAGCGGGCUCCUCGAUUCGGCGCUGGGGAGUAGCACGCACAGCAUGCGCGGCCAGCCGGAUUGUGACACCCUGUCCACUGAUCUGCUGCUGCCGACCACGCAUCUGCUGGGAUGUUUUGCCGCUAACGCCACAUGCUUAUACACAAGUUCGUGGUACCGAUCACUUUAACGCUGCUCGUCAGUCUUGUAAUGGAGCCGCGGUGAAGUUCAUUCCGCGUUCACUGUCAACAAACCUUUCGGAACGUGGUUCCGCUAAGUGGGUCAAAAGCAAAGUGCAGAAAGGAAAAAAGAAAGAAGGCAGCUGACUGAGACUACUCUCGGAUGAUGGCGCUGUUUUCUUUUCGAGGAGCGCCCGCUGAAGGCGACCGCAAGAGGAGCGCCGUCCACUCGGCAUUGACGGCUUCACGGUCAGACGCCGGCUGCUUUCGGCGCGGUUUCGCAAGUGGCUUCGUCGCACGCCAAGAGGCUCCCGUCUAUAUAAGCGAGGAAGGGUGGGGAGAGAAUAAACGGCCAUCGAGAGAAGCCGCAGCGCAUCCCUGGCUUUUAUUAUUUAUUUUUUGUCUCUCUCUCUCUCGCUCACCUUGUGCGAAGUAAUUAGAUUUAUGCACACACACUUCGGGGCAGCCAGCUCGGAACGUUGACAUUCGUUUUUUUUUUUUUUUUUUUUUUUUAGUGGUAUGCCGCUCGCGCGUCGGGACUCCGAGGGGAGACAAGCGUUUACGGUCAUUAGGAAUAAACUUUAAUCCAUCACGUUUACGAAUGCGCCUAUCUGUCGAAUCUGUCAACUAUAAGGCCCGAGCGGCAUGCGAAGCACAGAUCGGCGCGAACGUUCUUCUCGACGCGGUACGCUAUUUAUGGUCGAAUAUUUUUCAACCCGCCUGUACUCCGCGCAACUGUAGAGAAUAUAAAUGCCGUUUUGCAAGUUGCCC
This is a long non-coding RNA of Rhipicephalus sanguineus (brown dog tick), 1270 nucleotides long. RefSeq lists it as uncharacterized. NCBI's taxonomy places the organism in Eukaryota, Metazoa, Arthropoda, Arachnida, Ixodida, Ixodidae. The transcript is spliced from 3 exons. The record is from RefSeq and is a predicted model, not a curated record.